Molecule: long non-coding RNA, 711 nt
Organism: Daucus carota subsp. sativus
Lineage: Eukaryota; Viridiplantae; Streptophyta; Magnoliopsida; Apiales; Apiaceae
Exons: 2
Source: RefSeq, a predicted model, not a curated record
UCAUAUUAGCCUAUUCAUAUUAGCAUAUUAGGAUAUUAUAAUAUGGAGUUACCUGAACGAAAUAAAUUUAAGGUUUUGAAGAUUGGCGAACCCUAACACGGUCAGAGAGAAAUAGAGAAUCCUAUAUGGCUUCCUCCUCUUUGGCGAGAUCUAUUUAUUCUGUCCUAAUUAUCAUCAUCAUGAUUUCAACUCAUGCAGAUUCGAGAAAUCGAGAACUCGCUGUACCGCUUCACGGGGCUCCCGUAAACUUUGAACGGUUUAAACUGAGAGAAAUGUCCGAUCCAAGAUCCGAGUUUAAACUUAAACCGAGACGUGCCCCGGAUCCAAUACAUAAUUAACCCCUCUAGGCCAGGCUUGGCACAGGGAAUAUUUGUUAUAAGAAUUAAGUUCAAAUACUGUCGAUUCCCACAGCAUAUAUCUAUGUAUACUAUUAGCUUACAUGGUACUCACUCGAUCAGUAUGUUAGCAAAAUUUAACUAUAUUGUAUCAGUCAAUCGUUAGUUGUAUGGUUUGAUUUGUUGGUUGUAUUGGUGGAAUGUUCUGGGCCGAUUAUUAGUUACUCUCGGUAUAACUUUCAUGGCGACGUAUUUUUUUGAAACGAGGUCUUCGAUAACACGAUAUAAAGACCAAAUGAAGUUUUUGAAGGGAGACGUCCUUUGUACAGGGUGUAGGGUUCCAAACCUGCUUGAUGAAAAAGCUGUUUCUAUCUUA